AGUGAAGCGGCAAGAGCUCAGAUUUGAAAUCGUGUUUCGGCACGAGUUGUAGAGUGUAGGCGGGAGUCUCUGUGGAGCGCGGUGUCCAAGUCCCUUGGAACAGGGUGCCUGAGAGGGUGAGAGCCCCGUAGGGUGCUGCGCGAAGCUUUUGAGGCCCUGCUGACGAGUCGAGUUGUUUGGGAAUGCAGCUCCAAGCGGGUGGUAAAUUCCAUCUAAGGCUAAAUAUUGGCGAGAGACCGAUAGCGAACAAGUACUGUGAAGGAAAGAUGAAAAGCACUUUGAAAAGAGAGUGAAACAGCACGUGAAAUUGUUGAAAGGGAAGGGUAUUGGGCUCGACAUGGGGGGUGCGCACCGCUGUCUCUUGUAGGCGGCGCUCUGGGCGCCCUCUGGGCCAGCAUCGGUUCCUGCUGCGGGAGAAGGGGCUCCGGAAAGUGGCUCUUCGGAGUGUUAUAGCCGGGGCCAGAUGCCGCGUGUGGGGACCGAGGACUGCGGCUUCUGUCUCGGAUGCUGGCAUAACGGCGCAAUACCGCCCGUCUUGAAACACGGACCA
Molecule: ribosomal RNA, 550 nt
Filed under: Pichia manshurica
Lineage: Eukaryota; Fungi; Ascomycota; Pichiomycetes; Pichiales; Pichiaceae
Description: partial large subunit ribosomal RNA
Rfam family: Eukaryotic large subunit ribosomal RNA
Source: RNAcentral